AUUUAGUGAGUGCUGCAGAAACGAGAAUACAGAUGGCUACUGGUGCUAUUUGGGGCCGGGCUCUGAGAAUUAGAAACCUCUCCUACAUCCAUUAUCUUGGGUGACACUUCAAAUACUUCAGACACGAGCAUCAGAUUUCCUUUCACAAGUGUGGCACUAUGCCAUUUUAAUUAAUUUACUUUGGAGGGUGGGGUGACUGUCAUUAGGAAAAGGAGCACAGGAGCAGUUUAGGGAUUUUUCAGCUCUGAAAAAGCCAACUAACAAGCACUGGGGUAUUUUUUUGUCUUUUUGGUUUCAUAUCCUUCUAUAAAACUCAUUUAUAUACGUUUCUGAUUCGAUAGGCCAAAACAUGGACGUCUGCUCAGGCUUCAGACGGCCUUAAAUGCUCGUUUUUUUUCUCCUUCUUGCUCUGUAUGAUGUCACAGAGUGCAGAUGUGCUCGAUAUGGACAUCUCAGACUGUGCGUAUGCACCAUACUUUCUUAUAGUUUUUUAUUUUUAACUCAGUUUAAUUCAGGUUCAGUUUCCAGAGUGGGUUUGAUCAUUUCAGUGUAGCUCUCAUUGGUUGAAAAUGUUUCUUUUUCAUUUUGUUAGUUUUAGUCUUUAUUACUGAUUAUUUUAUUUAAGGCAAAUGCCAGAGACAAGAUUUGGGGAAAUCAGUAUUGAGAUUAGAAUAUAAACAGAACUUUUUGAAAGCAGUUGACUCAUAGGCUUAUAGACAUCCAAAGCCUCAAUCAAAACAUCUGUUAAACCCCUCAUCAGGCAGUUUGUGAUAACAGAUUUUACCAAGUUAAGUCAUACUAAGAAUUGUUCCUCUAUAUUUUUGAUUUUAACUUGUUUUUCAAAUAUCACAAAAUUGCAGCCGUAAAAGGCUGAUAGCAUAUUGUUGUAACCCUGGUGGGCAGGUGGGGGGGCGGUGUGGACACCCAAGUUUGUAAAUGCGAUAACAUGAAUACAGUGGUCCCUCGCUAUAACACGGUCCACCUUUUGCAGUCUCGCUGUUUCGUGGUUUUUUUGUUUUGUUUUUUACAGCGCAUUAUGUUCUGCGUUCUGAUUGGCUGUAGACCAUUGUCAAUCAAUCUCGUGUCGUGUCUCCUGUUCAGCUUGUCAAAUUUCCCUAUAUCUUCGAUCACUAACAGCGGGACUCUGAAGUGCUGUACUGUAUGUUUGUUUGUAAGUUUUCUCCAACUAACAGAAAAUGUCGAUGAAACGUUUUGCACCAUCAAAGUCAACUGCACGUGCCUUUGGUUUCAUUCUACAGGGUGGGAAAUUUAUACGGAUACACCGUAAUAACAUGGGAAUGGUUGGUGAUAUUAAAGUCCUGUUUGUGGCAAAUUAGUAUAUGUGAGGGGGCAAACUCCUCAAGAUGGGUGGUGACCAUGGUGGCCAUUUACAAGUCGGCCAUCUUGGAUACAACUUUUGUUUUUCCAAUAGGAAGAGGGCCAUGUGACAGAUCAAACUUAUUG
Astatotilapia calliptera (eastern happy) is the source of this 1464-nucleotide long non-coding RNA. The record is from Ensembl. NCBI's taxonomy places the organism in Eukaryota, Metazoa, Chordata, Actinopteri, Cichliformes, Cichlidae.